This 874-nucleotide unclassified non-coding RNA is filed under the name Hevea brasiliensis (rubber tree). Lineage: Eukaryota; Viridiplantae; Streptophyta; Magnoliopsida; Malpighiales; Euphorbiaceae. The record is from RNAcentral.
GGGAUCAGUAACCGUAUCCCAUCUCUUAUUGCAGUCAUUCCUUUUACUUUAUUUUAUUUUUUCAGCUCUCAAUAAACAGCGGAGAGAGUAUCUUUGAGACUCCGUUUUCUUUCCUGCUUUUCUCUCUAGUAGUAAGACAUCUUUAAGACUCGAUUCUCACCGCUUGCCGUGACUUCGGCCUUCCCCUGCCCCACUGGGUAGGGGACGGCCUCCUCCCCCUACUCGGGAUGUGGGUUUCUUUCUCAGUACCCAUUUAUAUAGAGCUUUUGAUGUUUGUUGUGUUGCAAGAAGUGGGCAUCAUGGAGAGGAAGUUUGUUGAAUUUGCAUAGGUUGCAUUUCUUUUUGACUGGGGAUAUUUGUUUGUUUGUCUUUGGGAGGGUGUUCGUUUGCUGCAGUGGUAUCCCAGGAGUCUAAAAGCCGACCUUGUUCACUAAUGACUGACCUUCCAAGCUAAGAAAGCUGUGAGCCCUGCUUCAUCACCCUUGGUCUGGUUGGAUGAGAUUUCUUUCACUCAGAGCAUGCAUGUGUUGCCAAGUUCGGCUCGAUUUGAGGUAAGCGACUUUGAAGAGGAGGUCUUUUGUUCAAGUUUUAAUUGCUUCAUUCUGCUUCUGCUUUCAAUGGCAAUGAUGGCUGCCAUGGGGAGACGAGGCUUGGUGCAUGACGGCAUUCCUGGUUGCAUAUUUUUUGUGAUGGUCGGGUCUCUCUUUGUCGGGUUGAACCCAUUUUAACUUUAAGGUUUUUUAUUUGUUAGGUCUUGGACCUUGUAUUCUGCUGGAUUUGGGUAUUGAGUUCUUUUCUUUUCCCCUUGUAUUUGACCUAUGGGCUGUGUACUACUGAUUUCAGCCAAUGAACUUUCCAUCUUUGUUAAAAAAAC